RNAcentral lists this ribosomal RNA (465 nucleotides) under Vreelandella stevensii. Its description in RNAcentral is "partial 16S ribosomal RNA". It matches the Rfam family "Bacterial small subunit ribosomal RNA", at positions 338 to 795 of the family's 1533-position model. The record is from RNAcentral. Lineage: Bacteria; Pseudomonadati; Pseudomonadota; Gammaproteobacteria; Oceanospirillales; Halomonadaceae.
CCUACGGGGGGCUGCAGUGGGGAAUAUUGGACAAUGGGCGAAAGCCUGAUCCAGCCAUGCCGCGUGUGUGAAGAAGGCCUUCGGGUUGUAAAGCACUUUCAGUGGGGAAGAAAGCCUUGGGGCUAAUACCCUCGAGGAAGGACAUCACCCACAGAAGAAGCACCGGCUAACUCCGUGCCAGCAGCCGCGGUAAUACGGAGGGUGCGAGCGUUAAUCGGAAUUACUGGGCGUAAAGCGCGCGUAGGCGGUCUGAUAAGCCGGUUGUGAAAGCCCCGGGCUCAACCUGGGAACGGCAUCCGGAACUGUCAGGCUAGAGUGCAGGAGAGGAAGGUAGAAUUCCCGGUGUAGCGGUAAAAUGCGUAGAGAUCGGGAGGAAUACCAGUGGCGAAGGCGGCCUUCUGGACUGACACUGACGCUGAGGUGCGAAAGCGUGGGUAGCAAACAGGAUUAGAUACCCGAGUAGUC